UGUUUCCUGCUAUGUAGUGGAGGUCUGUUAGUACAGAGGACGUCUGGGGAUUUUUGUCUUUACUCCAGCUAGUGGUCCCUCUCUCAAUUCUCUUUAUUUCGAAACUUCACCGCUGGUAAAAAGAUUUCACCAUUUGUUGGUGCUACUGCAAGGUUAUCAAAUAUGCCGGCAAUUAUGUUUGUUGCUGACCCAUGUAAGGAACAAAUCUUUAGCAGCCAAAGGUUUACCGACUUCACAAAAUCCAUCACAAUUAUUCAGCUGCUGCCUCUAGUCUAUCAACUCUGGAUAUGACUUAUGCAGUCUCAUUUGUAUGGCAAGAAGAACAAAACAGUUGACCAGUAAUUUUUUUUCCAUGACUUGAAUAACCUCAUCAUAAAAUUCAUUUAGCUCAACGUCCUUUAUCUUAGAUACCAUAAUCAAUCAUCAGCCAGUACAAGAUGUUAUGCAAGACGUGAAGCAAAUCAAAAGUCAUGGCAUGCUUAACCAAAAAUCUUGCAAUAGUUGGCGGCGAAUCACCCAUGAGUCUGCUGCAUCGUGAGCCAAACUUCUUGCCUUACUGUACCUACUAUGCAUUAAGUACCAAUCCUAUCCAUCACACCAAGGCCAUGAGCAGUACAUGCUCAUACCCAUUGCCAUCCAAUUGAGUCUUGUCGUGCAUCAGUAGCAAUAACCAAGAGCUCGCUACUAUUUCAUCUUCAUUUGCUGGUUUUGGUAACUCUAUUACCUAGCUUCACAGGUACAUGCUCUGCCGUCAUGGGGAGUUGCUUGGUCUGGGUACAAAAGAUGUUCUGUUAAUGGGCAACAAGCUGCGAACACACACUCCACAGACGGUGGCAAGUUACAGUAAAGGAGAACAAUCAUAAGCUGCAGUGGAUCUUAAGGCAUCCAAAGUUGCUAACGAGAACCGGAAUCAAGGCUGAUGCCGAGACAAACUGCAAAAGAUGUCACUGGAAAAUAGAAGCAGUAACAACCAAACGACACGUCACAGAGCUGCAGCAAAAUCGCAUACCGCCAAACACCAAUGCGAGAAUAGCUGACAGUCCAACGGCAACGGAGCCUAAUGAACAGUAACCACCUCACAACACUGCAAGCACUAACAAAGGCGGAGGGAAAGGAUAAUACUGAUAAGUGUGCUGCUUCCAUGAGCGUUGGCGUUGGCCACUUCUCUGAUCCUGCUGGUCUUUAAGGCCUCGCACAUUUCCUAGAGCACAUGAUGUUUUAUGCCAGCGAGAAGUACCAUGUGGAAGAUGGUUAUUCCGGGUAUAUUACUGAUCAUGGAGGAAGCACCAAUGCUUUUACAUCUUCUGAGAGCACCAAUUUUUUUUAACACUGAUGGUUUUUAAGAGGCUCUUGACAACUUCGCUCAAUUCCUGACUACACCAUUGAUGUCCGUUGAUGCUACCAUGAGGGAAAUUAAAGCUGUUGACUCUGAAAACCAGAAAAAUUUAUUGUCCGAUGAGUGGAGAAUGAACCAGCUUCAGAAACAUCUCACUGCUGAAGAUCACCCAUAUCAUAAAUUUAGCACAGGGAACUGGGACACUUUUGAAGUUAGACCAAAAGAAAAAAGGAAUGGACAUAAGGAAUGAGCUUAUCAAAUUCCAUGAAGAGAUAUAUUCUGCUAAUCUAAUGCACCUCAUCAUAUAUACGAAUGAAAUCCUUGAUAAAAUUCAAAACCUUGUUGAAGAAAAGUUCCAGACAAACUCUUGGACCAGACAAGUGUAACAUAUCUCUUUCCCAUCACAAAGUAUCUCGGUUUACUAGCAACUGGCAUGACAGUUGAUGCUAGGACACUGGUGCAACAAGCAAGAAAUGAAGUAUCCGAGUUUUGCCACAAAUAUGGAUAUGAGAUGCCUGUGGAUGUGUUGGCUAAAUGGAUUGCAGACAAGUCGCAAGUCUAUACUCAACAUGCUUAUAUGAGACCAUUGGAAGUAGUUGCUAUGGUCCUGGGUAGUGAUGACAAAUAAGAGUUAAUUCAGAACCAAAGAACUGGAAUCCUCAGUUGUUAACCUCCAAACCAAGAAUUGAUACAAGUGUUAACAGGAUUCGCUCAAUUCUAACCAACGAAAUUCAACCCAACCGCAACUGCAAAACACAUCUAAGAAUCCUCUAACCGCCUAGCUUCUUCCAACAGAACCACGAUCUUCAAUCUAACAAAUAUGCACCGACGAGCCGUUAGGAAAUGAUGCAUCAAGGAUACCGCAAUAGCAGUCUGGAACUGACUUCCGACUAAACCGUUUCAGCCAAACUUUCUAACCAAAACCUGCAACAUCGCAGCCAGCGGUACAACCCUCCGGCAACAUGAUCAACAAUCCAACAAGUCAAGACAAACACCAUUUGUCUCCAUCAGUAGGGAAAGGAAAAUUGAGGGUAACGUUUUUCAUGACUGUGGUGGGCAUUGCAAUGAAACUUAGAACCAAAGCUACCAAUUGACUAACAGAUUAACUUCAAUUGAACAAAUGUUACAGUAGAUAAACCAAGCAUUCACUAACAGGGGCUCACAGUUUAGUUCACCAAUUUGAUUUUUACCAACCUCAUCUCAUUAACUCUAACUAAUUCCAAAUUAAAAACCCAUUGGUUUUGUCACUAACGAACCUUGUGCAACUGGUUUCCACAUCACCAUGAGAACCGGCUUCCGCUACAUCCGACUCAUCCGCAAAUGCUGCCCACAUGCACACGGUAGUCAUUUCUUAUAAGGUUGCGAGUGGAUAUCCUGCUUUGGAGAAGUAAGCUGAGAGAUCUACACGUUGGUCAUCAUACAUGCUGAUAAAAGGAAGUUCCAAAAGUUCCUGAACCGACAGUCUAUUCCCCGAAUCUUUCUGUAGACAUGCAGAGAUAAAUGAAUAAAAUUCUAGAUAAAAUUGUUCAGAUGGAGCACUAGGAGGAGGCUUGUCAACAAUAAGUUCCAAUAAGCUCAAAUAUACUUUCCCAUCUUUCCCUUUGAUCUGGUGGCAUAUAUGGAAACUGCCCUGUAACACACUUGAGCAAUAUUAGUCCCAAACUCUAUAUAUCGCUUUUGUAGUUGUAGCCACCCUGGUUUGAUGCCUAUGAAUGGUUAAUUCCAUCAUGAAAUUCGUUUGAAGGAAGUGUAGGGCGCGAUUCCAUUGGUAAGCUAGCAAAUUAAACGUUAAUGCAUUUUCCUUUAACUCGUUCUAUUUCUGCAGGUCCGGUGGUUUUAUGCAGAAUGGCUUUUCUGCUUGCGCCAGGUUCUACACAACCUACCCAUAGCUGCUUUCGAGAAUCUACUUCCAUAUGUUCAAGGACAGGACCUCUUGCAAUUGCAGCACGUAAAUCCCAUAUGUUGCUAUGUCCUUUUCUGGCCAAAACAAAGACAAAGAUCAGAUGCCAAUUGUAAAUCACCAGAAACUGCAGCUUCUCUAGCAAUAGCUUCUUCAACAGCCGGUACAUCAUCAGCAAACCUCAAGCUAAGAAGUCUGGCAACCUCAACGAGCUCCUCAACAUGAGCUUAUUAUUCUUGAAUUGUUGUUCUGCGCCUUUCCACAUCAACAAUGCAAUAAUAUCAAAGCCUUCAAAGUUCUCUCUAUAGGUAACUGUGUAAUAUAAAACGGAUUCUGUGGUAAUAGCUGAGGAAACAUCUUGAGACAUUGCAUAAAAAUUCUUAAUGCAUUUGGGAAUUCGUCCUGAUAGAUUGUUUUCUGAGAGAUCCAACAACUGAAUGUUUGUUAAGUAACAAAGACUCUCUAGAAGACUUCCAGAGAAUCGGUUCUUUCGUAAGCUUAACACUUGCAAUUGUUGUCUUAACCAAUACGGUAUUGGUCCUGAGAAUCUAUUACUUCCAACAUCAAGCAUGAUCAGUUCGAUGCAAUUUUUCAAGGAGACAGGAUUUGGUUGCAUCCACUUUCAAUUGGUGUAUUUCUUGUUUGCUGUAAUGUGGGAACAAAUGGUUGGCAGAAGUGAUUAUGCAGAUUGCGCCCAAACAUCCAGAUGCAAUCUGUCUGUCGCGGGAUUGCUGCGACUGAGAUGCGAACGACUUUGAGGCAUUUUGUUGCAAUUGUUGCUGCAUUGAAACCUUUGGUUGUUGCAACAUGUGUGCAGAAUGAUGGCUUGUUGUUCUUGAAACGAUUUACAAAGCGUGAGACUGAGAGUUCUAGCCUUGAGUUUCAAAGAUUUCAAGCGGCGUAUGACAUCAUCCAGAAGUUGGAUUGGGUCCUUAAUAUUUUUCACAUAAAGAGUAAUUUUUUCUUUUUUUCAGGAAUUCCUCCACCUGGCUUUAACUCAGGGUUGUGGUAACCGCAAGCAUCGCAUGUAGAUGCCAUAACAAUUACUUCUUGAAAAUACGGAAUAUUAGUGACAACAUUCGAGUUUCACACUUAGAGGUACAAGUUCCACAAGUUGACGGGAAAGUCAUCACCUCUUCUGGUGCACUAUAUCGAAAUAAGGCAUCUGCGAUUCCUGCACUAUUACUUUGUGCAAUAGCUCGUUGACCAGCGGCUUCCCCAACUGACCCGUGGGGUUGUCUACUCGUUCUCCUAAAAGCCGUUGCUUCUCCACUUUCCAGCACUUCAUCACGAGUUCCUUCAUCCUGUGUAGAAUAUCCCAACAAUACUUGUUGCUCAGGUGUUCGGUCAUAAAACUUGAUAGUGAGAUGAUGGAUCAGAUGAUGGUGCAAAAGGAUUUUCGAUGUGACUGUUUCCAGCAGGAUCAUCAAUAAUAAACGUGAAAGAAGAUUCUGCUGUGGAACAGGCUCGCAACUUCACUAGGAACUAAUCUAUUGCAUCAACUGUCUCUGGAGCAACUUUUCUGCGUUCCUCUUGAAGGGCCUAAAGUUCAUCAGCAACUCACAUUAAUAUCCCUUCAACCGUUGACAGACUACCAUGUUGUGUGUUAUACGGUGAACUGACUUUUGUGUUUUGCUUUGAAAAGCAAUGUCGCGGAUAGCAAGAGUCGCCACCGACUUUUCUUUUAUCCAAUAAGGAAAGGCGGAAAAGAACAGGAAAGACCUUGAUUAGAUUUUGGGUUCGGGAGGUACAUUAUACAAAGGGAAGGUGUUAGCACCCUUUGUAUCCAUGGUUAUCCAUGGGCUCUUAAUUGCUUAGCUCACUUGUGUUUUCCUUGUUCGAGAAAUGUGGUGUGUUUAGAACAUAUUUUGAAAGGAGAGUUUAACUUGAUAAUGAUUCUUGUACGAA
Lathyrus oleraceus (garden pea) is the source of this 5144-nucleotide long non-coding RNA. RefSeq lists it as uncharacterized. The record is from RefSeq and is a predicted model, not a curated record. The transcript has 2 exons. NCBI's taxonomy places the organism in Eukaryota, Viridiplantae, Streptophyta, Magnoliopsida, Fabales, Fabaceae.